GGCGGAGCUACACAUGCAGUCGAGCGGAUGAGGGAAGCUUGCUUCCCGAUUUAGCGGCGGACGGGUGAGUAAUGCCUAGGAAUCUGCCUAUUAGUGGGGGAUAACGUUCCGAAAGGAACGCUAAUACCGCAUACGUCCUACGGGAGAAAGUGGGGGAUCUUCGGACCUCACGCUAAUAGAUGAGCCUAGGUCGGAUUAGCUAGUUGGUGGGGUAACGGCUCACCAAGGCGACGAUCCGUAGCUGGUCUGAGAGGAUGAUCAGCCACACUGGAACUGAGACACGGUCCAGACUCCUACGGGAGGCAGCAGUGGGGAAUAUUGGACAAUGGGCGAAAGCCUGAUCCAGCCAUGCCGCGUGUGUGAAGAAGGUCUUCGGAUUGUAAAGCACUUUAAGUUGGGAGGAAGG
RNAcentral lists this ribosomal RNA (406 nucleotides) under uncultured bacterium. RNAcentral describes it as "bacterial SSU rRNA". It matches the Rfam family "Bacterial small subunit ribosomal RNA", at positions 41 to 451 of the family's 1533-position model. The record is from RNAcentral.